Molecule: long non-coding RNA, 411 nt
Organism: Drosophila ananassae
Lineage: Eukaryota; Metazoa; Arthropoda; Insecta; Diptera; Drosophilidae
Exons: 3
Source: RefSeq, a predicted model, not a curated record
CCCAAAUCCCGAUUUGGUGGCAUAAAGUCCCAAAUUUCAUGGAAGAAAAUCUGAAUUUUUUUUGUAUAUAUUUAAACUAGAUACCCUAGAUAGAAAGUAUCAAUAAAUAUUUUUGUCAAAAAUGCAACCUUGCAAUUUUUACAGAUGUUUAAAGUCAGGUGAUUGAGCAGCUGAUUUUUGUGACAAAAUUGGCGGGAAAUAUUUAAUAACUUUGAGAGCUUGGCAAAUCUAAACCAAACAAUAUUUUUCUAUUAUUUAAAAUGGAUAUUGAAGUUGGAGGAAAUCAAAAAGCUGACAAAAGUGUUCGUCUUCUGUAGAGGAAAAAAGGUGUUGUGCGUAUUUGUGCGUUGUUUAAUGUAUGUUAAACAAUAGUAGACACUUUAUAUUAAAUUUUAAUAAUAGUUUCGUUUG